RNAcentral lists this ribosomal RNA (495 nucleotides) under uncultured bacterium. RNAcentral's name for it is "partial 16S ribosomal RNA". It matches the Rfam family "Bacterial small subunit ribosomal RNA", at positions 28 to 507 of the family's 1533-position model. The record is from RNAcentral.
GACGAACGCUGGCGGCGUGCCUAAUACAUGCAAGUAGAACGCUGAAGGAGGAGCUUGCUCUUCUGGAUGGGUUGCGAACGGGUGAGUAACGCGUAGGUAACCUGCCUGGUAGCGGGGGAUAACUAUUGGAAACGAUAGCUAAUACCGCAUAAGAGUAGAUGUUGCAUGACAUUUACUUAAAAGGUGCAAUUGCAUCACUACCAGAUGGACCUGCGUUGUAUUAGCUAGUUGGUGGGGUAACGGCUUACCAAGGCGACGAUACAUAGCCGACCUGAGAGGGUGAUCGGCCACACUGGGACUGAGACACGGCCCAGACUCUUACGGGAGGCAGCAGUAGGGAAUCUUCGGCAAUGGACGGAAGUCUGACCGAGCAACGCCGCGUGAGUGAAGAAGGUUUUCGGAUCGUAAAGCUCUGUUGUAAGAGAAGAACGAGUGUGAGAGUGGAAAGUUCACACUGUGACGGUAUCUUACCAGAAAGGGACGGCUAACUACGUG